AUUGAACGCUGGCGGAAUGCUUUACACAUGCAAGUCGAACGGCAGCACGGACUUCGGUCUGGUGGCGAGUGGCGAACGGGUGAGUAAUGUAUCGGAACGUGCCCAGUCGUGGGGGAUAACGUAGUGAAAAUUACGCUAAUACCGCAUACGAUCUAUGGAUGAAAGCGGGGGAUCGCAAGACCUCGCGCGAUUGGAGCGGCCGAUAUCAGAUUAGGUAGUUGGGGGGGUAAAGGCCCACCAAGCCAACGAUCUGUAGCUGGACUGAGAGGAAGACCAGCCACACUGGAACUGAGACACGGUCCAGACUCCUACGGGAGGCAGCAGUGGGGAAUUUUGGACAAUGGGCGAAAGCCUGAUCCAGCCAUUCCGCGUGCAGGAUGAAGGCCCUCGGGUUGUAAACUGCUUUUGUACAGAACGAAAAGGUUUCUACUAAUACUAGGAGCUCAUGACGGUACUGUAAGAAUAAGCACCGGCUAACUACGUGCCAGCCGCCGCCGUAA
This 500-nucleotide ribosomal RNA is filed under the name uncultured bacterium. RNAcentral's name for it is "partial 16S ribosomal RNA". It matches the Rfam family "Bacterial small subunit ribosomal RNA", at positions 30 to 523 of the family's 1533-position model. The record is from RNAcentral.